Molecule: non-coding RNA, 1285 nt
Organism: Equus caballus (horse)
Lineage: Eukaryota; Metazoa; Chordata; Mammalia; Perissodactyla; Equidae
Source: RefSeq, a predicted model, not a curated record
AAUUCCUUUUAAAAACAAAAGCCAAAUAAAGGCUUUUCAGAUAUACAAAAGAUGAAAGAGUUCAUCGCCAGCAGAACUGCACUCCAAGAAAUGUUAAUGGAAGUCUUUCAGGCAAAAGGCAAAUGACACCAGAUGGAAAUAUGGGUUUAUACAAAGGCAUUAAACACACCAGAAAUAAAAGUAACAAAGGUCUCUGCUCAACUGUCAUCAGAAACCUUCCACAACCACCCUAUACAAAAGAACCCUCAUCACCUUCUGUGACUCUCUGUUCCCUUUAACUGCCCUACUUUUACUGUAUGGUACUUACAACUAUCUAAAUAUUAUACAUUUAUUUACUUAAAAAAAUUAUCUGUCUCUGUUUCGCCAAUUACCACCCCUAGAACAUAAGUUUGGUGAGAACAAUAAUUUUCUUCUGUUUUGCUCACAGCUAUAGCCCCAGUGUCCAGAAUAGUAUUAAUAGUAAAUGUUCAAAUGUUUCUGCUAAUAAACAGAUCAGAAAAGCAAAUAUUAUGCCAAGUUCUGAAAAUUUGCUGCAAUAUUCACAGUCAGAUAAAUGGGUCUACAACCAAUGAAGUAAGUUUUAAAAGAAGAAAGUAUACCAACUCAGCAAUUAACAAGGUUUGCAGUAUGCAAGUAGUAAACUGCAAACUAUGGCCAAACUUUCAGUAAAAUAAAGGUGACAUAUCUCUCUCUUUAGUUCUGUAACUAAAUUUAAUAACUAGUUAUGACUUUUUUCCCCUUCUUUCAGAAAUAUCCUGAAAUUCCUGUCUAAAGAUUAAAAGAUAUGUUUAAAUAUACACUUAUCUGUACUGAUAAUUGUAAAAAGUAAUUAUUCUGAGUUAACUGAAAUUCUGAAAAAUGACUAAUUAUGUAUUUAAUGAUUAAAAGAAGAGUGGCUGUACAUAUAUUUGCCUUUGUUAAAUAUUGAUUAAAGGAUUCCUAAUGUGUUUUUACAACAUGUAAUUUUGAGAGCAAAUUGUGUACAGCAGAAAACAUUUGGUAUCAAUAAUUAAUCUGAUUUCUUGACAAACACAGAGCACAAGUCCACUGGUAAACAUUUAAACAACGUAGAGUAAACACAUUCUAGACAUCAUAUAAUUUAUUAUUAAGGGCUCCAGAGUGAUAACUAUUUAAUUAAAAUAAAUCUGGACUAUUCUUUACUUGUAUUACCUAACUACUACACUAAGGUAUUGAUAGUAGUGUAAUGACUUCACACUUAUUUCAAUAUCAAAAGGCACCAAAAAGAAUAUACAUAGCUUAAAAAAUAUUCACUGAACCACCAAAA